This 622-nucleotide long non-coding RNA is filed under the name Phaseolus vulgaris (common bean). Its description in RNAcentral is "long non-coding RNA (PVUL_LNC002099)". Lineage: Eukaryota; Viridiplantae; Streptophyta; Magnoliopsida; Fabales; Fabaceae. The record is from RNAcentral.
AGAGAGGGAUCUGGUAGAAGAAGAGAGGAUGCGAAGGGAGCGAGAUAAGAGAGGGUGGCGAAGGCGCGAGAGUGCCAUAUGCGUCGAUCAAUUCGAUUCGAUUCAGAAGAGAAGAGAGAAGACACCACCAAAUUGAAAUUCUUCUCCGGUUAGUUACUUUGUCUGAGUAGAAUACAAUUCUGAUCACGCGAGCCAGGGGUAGGUGUGUAUUUGUUGAUUAAGUGUACACACACGUGCGCACUGCACCCGUGCCAGCCACCGUUAGCGGCGUUCUCCACACCGGUCAUUUUAUUUUGUAACUUUUCAAUAAUUUUACUAAAUUAUCACAUAAACAACAUUUUUAUUUUUUUUUAACUUUCAAGGCCAAGUUCGUCAAUAAAUUCGCAUAUAUAAAGGUUUCUUUUGAAUCAAAUUUAAUUUGACUAUUUGCUCAUAUAUAAUCUAAGUAAUUAUUUAAGUUGCUUAUAUAAUAGUCUUUUUAUUCUAAUAUUUCUUCUGAGUGAUUUUGUUCUUGCCAAUAAAUUUAGGUUGGGUAGAAGUGGUUUUCAGAUCAACCUUUUAAGAUUGUAGCUUUGAGAUACUUGAUGAUCACAAUGAGAGGAACUUCACCGGUUGACAAGAC